This 490-nucleotide ribosomal RNA is filed under the name uncultured bacterium. RNAcentral's name for it is "partial 16S ribosomal RNA". It matches the Rfam family "Bacterial small subunit ribosomal RNA", at positions 30 to 507 of the family's 1533-position model. The record is from RNAcentral.
AUUGAACGCUGGCGGCAGGCCUAACACAUGCAAGUCGAACGGUAACAGGAAGCAGCUUGCUGCUUCGCUGACGAGUGGCGGACGGGUGAGUAAUGUCUGGGAAACUGCCUGAUGGAGGGGGAUAACUACUGGAAACGGUAGCUAAUACCGCAUAACGUCGCAAGACCAAAGAGGGGGACCUUAGGGCCUCUUGCCAUCGGAUGUGCCCAGAUGGGAUUAGCUAGUAGGUGGGGUAACGGCUCACCUAGGCGACGAUCCCUAGCUGGUCUGAGAGGAUGACCAGCCACACUGGAACUGAGCCACGGUCCAGACUCCUACGGGAGGCAGCAGUGGGGAAUAUUGCACAAUGGGCGCAAGCCUGAUGCAGCCAUGCCGCGUGUAUGAAGAAGGCCUUCGGGUUGUAAAGUACUUUCAGCGGGGAGGAAGGGAGUAAAGUUAAUACCUUUGCUCAUUGACGUUACCCGCAGAAGAAGCACCGGCUAACUCCGUG